GACGAACGCUGGCGGCGUGCUUAACACAUGCAAGUCGAACGGAAAGGCCCUGCUUUUGUGGGGUGCUCGAGUGGCGAACGGGUGAGUAACACGUGAGUAACCUGCCCUUGACUUUGGGAUAACUUCAGGAAACUGGGGCUAAUACCGGAUAGGAGCUCCUGCUGCAUGGUGGGGGUUGGAAAGUUUCGGCGGCUGGGGAUGGACUCGCGGCUUAUCAGCUUGUUGGUGGGGUAGUGGCUUACCAAGGCUUUGACGGGUAGCCGGCCUGAGAGGGUGACCGGCCACAUGAGGGCUGAGAUACGGCCCAGAGUCCUACGGGAGGCAGCAGUGGGAAAUAUUGCACAAUGGGCGGAAGCCUGAUGCAGCAACGCCGCGUGCGGGAUGACGGCCUUCGGGUUGUAAACCGCUUUCGCCUGUGACGAAGCGUGAGUGACGGUAAUGGGUAAAGAAGCACCGGCUAACUACGUG
This 468-nucleotide ribosomal RNA is filed under the name uncultured bacterium. Its description in RNAcentral is "partial 16S ribosomal RNA". It matches the Rfam family "Bacterial small subunit ribosomal RNA", at positions 28 to 507 of the family's 1533-position model. The record is from RNAcentral.